RNAcentral lists this ribosomal RNA (431 nucleotides) under uncultured bacterium. Its description in RNAcentral is "partial 16S ribosomal RNA". It matches the Rfam family "Bacterial small subunit ribosomal RNA", at positions 29 to 507 of the family's 1533-position model. The record is from RNAcentral.
AACGAACGCUGGCGGCAGGCUUAACACAUGCAAGUCGAGCGCCCCGCAAGGGGAGCGGCAGACGGGUGAGUAACGCGUGGGAACGUACCUUUUGGUUCGGAACAACUCCGGGAAACUGGAGCUAAUACCGGAUAAGCCCUAACGGGGAAAGAUUUAUCGCCGAAAGAUCGGCCCGCGUCUGAUUAGCUAGUUGGUGGGGUAACGGCUCACCAAGGCGACGAUCAGUAGCUGGUCUGAGAGGAUGAUCAGCCACACUGGGACUGAGACACGGCCCAGACUCCUACGGGAGGCAGCAGUGGGGAAUAUUGGACAAUGGGCGCAAGCCUGAUCCAGCCAUGCCGCGUGAGUGAUGAAGGCCUUAGGGUUGUAAAGCUCUUUUAUCCGGGAAGAUAAUGACUGUACCGGAAGAAUAAGCCCCGGCUAACUUCGUG